GGCCCUGUAGCUUAGUCUGGCCGAGCGCCGGUCUUAUAAGCCGGAGGUCGGGGGUUCAACUCCCCCCAGGGCCA
This 74-nucleotide transfer RNA is filed under the name Candidatus Woesearchaeota archaeon. RNAcentral describes it as "tRNA-Ile". It matches the Rfam family "tRNA". Rfam says of the family: Transfer RNA (tRNA) molecules are approximately 80 nucleotides in length. Their secondary structure includes four short double-helical elements and three loops (D, anti-codon, and T loops). Lineage: Archaea; Nanobdellati; Candidatus Woesearchaeota. The record is from RNAcentral.